RNAcentral lists this ribosomal RNA (500 nucleotides) under uncultured bacterium. RNAcentral's name for it is "bacterial SSU rRNA". It matches the Rfam family "Bacterial small subunit ribosomal RNA", at positions 30 to 504 of the family's 1533-position model. The record is from RNAcentral.
UGAACGCUGGCGGCGUGCUUAACACAUGCAAGUCGAACGAGAAAGGGAUUGCUUGCAAUCCUGAGUAGAGUGGCGCACGGGUGAGUAACACGUAGAUAAUCUACCUCCAAGCCUGGGAUAACUAUUCGAAAGGAUGGCUAAUACCGGAUGAAGUGCAUUGACAUAAGUUGAUGUAUGAAAGAUUGCCUCUUCUUGAAAGCAAUUGUUUGGAGAUGAGUCUGCGGACCAUUAGUUUGUUGGUGGGGUAAAGGCCUACCAAGACUGCGAUGGUUAGCUGGUCUGAGAGGAUGAUCAGCCACACUGGAACUGGAACACGGUCCAGACUCCUACGGGAGGCAGCAGUGAGGAAUUUUGCGCAAUGGGGGAAACCCUGACGCAGCAACGCCGCGUGAGUGAAGAAGGCCCUUGGGUCGUAAAGCUCUGUCGACAGGGAAGAAAUUACUUUGUAUUAAUAGUGCAUAGUAUUGACGGUACCUGUAGAGGAAGCACCGGCUAACUCC